This 253-nucleotide ribosomal RNA is filed under the name uncultured bacterium. Its description in RNAcentral is "partial 16S ribosomal RNA". It matches the Rfam family "Bacterial small subunit ribosomal RNA", at positions 524 to 776 of the family's 1533-position model. The record is from RNAcentral.
UACGUAGGGGGCAAGCGUUGUCCGGAAUCAUUGGGCGUAAAGCGCGUGUAGGCGGCUCGAUAAGUCUGUUGUGAAAGCCCAGGGCUCAACCCUGGAACGCCGAUGGAUACUGUCGAGCUAGAGUCCGGAAGAGGCGAGUGGAAUUCCUGGUGUAGCGGUGAAAUGCGCAGAUAUCAGGAGGAACACCAAUGGCGAAGGCGGCUCGCUGGGACGGUACUGACGCUGAGACGCGAAAGCGUGGGGAGCAAACAGG